AAAAAACAGACUGCGUCACAGGUCAAGAGGGCCCUGUUCCUGGAAUCUGUAGCUGAACAGCCCCUGGAAACCGUGCAGAAUCUGCCUCCUCCUUCUGAAGAGCUUGGUCUGCCUGUGCUUGAUAAACCAGAUUCUCCGCCUGCUCAAUCCGCUACUUCUUCCACCGACAAAACAACAAUCAAACGUAAGCAGCCACGAGGUCCAGCGGAUGGACUAGGCAAGAAGAAGAAGGC
Long non-coding RNA from Lolium rigidum, 233 nucleotides. RefSeq lists it as uncharacterized. Lineage: Eukaryota; Viridiplantae; Streptophyta; Magnoliopsida; Poales; Poaceae. The record is from RefSeq and is a predicted model, not a curated record. The transcript is spliced from 3 exons.